RNAcentral lists this ribosomal RNA (1234 nucleotides) under metagenome. RNAcentral describes it as "bacterial LSU rRNA". It matches the Rfam family "Bacterial large subunit ribosomal RNA", at positions 1564 to 2808 of the family's 2925-position model. The record is from RNAcentral.
UGAAUACGAGAUGCUACGGCGUCGAAGCAGUGUAUGUCAGACUUCCAAGAAAAGCUCGCAAUGUCAUAAAUAAAGAAUGCCUGUACCAUAACCGACACAGGUGGGUAGGUAGAGUAUACUAAGGGGCGCGAGAUAACUCUCUCUAAGGAACUCGGCAAAAUAACUCCGUAACUUCGGGAGAAGGAGUGCCUUCUUUAAGAAGGUUGCAAUAACAAGAUCCAAGCAACUGUUUAUCAAAAACACAGGUCUCCGCUAAGUCGUAAGACGAUGUAUGGGGGCUGACGCCUGCCCAGUGCCAGAAGGUUAAAGAAGUUGGUUAGCUUUUGCGAAGCUGAUGACUGAAGCCCUGGUGAACGGCGGCCGUAACUAUAACGGUCCUAAGGUAGCGAAAUUCCUUGUCGGGUAAGUUCCGACCCGCACGAAAGGCGUAAUGAUUUGGAUACUGUCUCGGAGAGGGACUCGGUGAAAUAGACUUGUCUGUGAAGAUGCGGACUACCUGCACCAGGACAGAAAGACCCUAUGAAGCUUUACUGUAACUUGAAAUUGAAAUUGGACUUUAUUUGCGCAGUAUAGGUGGAAGGCGUUGAAAGUAAUCUUGCGGGAUUAGUGGAGCCAUCAGUGAGAUACCACUCCUAUAAUGUUAGAUUUCUAACUUUGGAUCAUGAUCUGGUCAAAGAACAGUUUCAGGCGUGCAGUUUGACUGGGGCGGUCGCCUCCCAAAUGGUAACGGAGGCGUACAAAGGUCUCCUCUGAACGGGUAGAAAUCGUAUCUAGAGUGUAAAGGCAUAAGGAAGCUUGACUGUGAGACCUACAAGUCGAGCAGGGACGAAAGUCGGUCUUAGUGAUCUGACGGUGCUGAGUGGAAAGGCCGUCACUCAACGGAUAAAAGUUACUCUAAGGAUAACAGGCUGAUCUCCCCCAAGAGUUCACAUCGACGGGGAGGUUUGGCACCUCGAUGUCGGCUCAUCGCAUCCUGGGGCGGUAGUACGUCCCAAGGGUUGGGCUGUUCGCCCAAAAGCGGUACGCGAGCUGGGUUCAGAACUUCGUGAGACAGUUCGGUCCAUAUCCGGUGUAGGCGUUAGAAUAUUGAGAGGAGCCUUCUUUAGUACGAGAGGACCGAGAAGGACAUACCUCUGGUGUACCAGUUAUCGUGCCAACGGUAAACGCUGGGUAGCUAUGUAUGGAGAGGAUAACCGCUGAAAGCAUCUAAGUGGGAUGCCCACCUCAAGAUGAG